This 498-nucleotide ribosomal RNA is filed under the name uncultured bacterium. Its description in RNAcentral is "partial 16S ribosomal RNA". It matches the Rfam family "Bacterial small subunit ribosomal RNA", at positions 28 to 508 of the family's 1533-position model. The record is from RNAcentral.
GAUGAACGCUGGCGGCGUGCCUAAUACAUGCAAGUCGAGCGAACAGAUGAGGAGCUUGCUCCUCUGACGUUAGCGGCGGACGGGUGAGUAACACGUGGAUAACCUACCUAUAAGACUGGGAUAACUUCGGGAAACCGGAGCUAAUACCGGAUAAUAUAUUGAACCGUAUGGUUCAAUAGUGAAAGACGGUUUUGCUGUCACUUAUAGAUGGAUCCGCGCCGCAUUAGCUAGUUGGUAAGGUAACGGCUUACCAAGGCGACGAUGCGUAGCCGACCUGAGAGGGUGAUCGGCCACACUGGAACUGAGACACGGUCCAGACUCCUACGGGAGGCAGCAGUAGGGAAUCUUCCGCAAUGGGCGAAAGCCUGACGGAGCAACGCCGCGUGAGUGAUGAAGGUCUUCGGAUCGUAAAACUCUGUUAUUAGGGAAGAACAAAUGUGUAAGUAACUAUGCACGUCUUGACGGUACCUAAUCAGAAAGCCACGGCUAACUACGUGC